GGGCAAGCCUUAUACGAUCAGCUCCUGCUGAACUCCCCCAGGGUCGGAAGGCAGCAAGGGUAGGUGGUUGUAGCGAUGCGAUAUAAGUAACUUGCCCACU
Molecule: signal recognition particle RNA, 100 nt
Filed under: Chitinophagales bacterium
Lineage: Bacteria; Pseudomonadati; Bacteroidota; Chitinophagia; Chitinophagales
Description: signal recognition particle sRNA small type
Rfam family: Bacteroidales small SRP
About the family: The non-coding component of the signal recognition particle in Bacteroides
Source: RNAcentral